RNAcentral lists this non-coding RNA (27 nucleotides) under Bombyx mori (domestic silkworm). Lineage: Eukaryota; Metazoa; Arthropoda; Insecta; Lepidoptera; Bombycidae. The record is from RNAcentral.
UAUCACUCUUGUCAGAACGGUCGUGGU